AGCGAACGCUGGCGGCAGGCUUAACACAUGCCAGUCGAGCGGACCUUUCGGGGUCAGCGGCGGACGGGUGAGUAACGCGUGGGAACGUGCCUUCCGGUUCGGAAUAACCCUGGGAAACUAGGGCUAAUACCGGAUACGCCCUUAUGGGGAAAGGUUUACUGCCGGAAGAUCGGCCCGCGUCUGAUUAGCUAGUUGGUGGGGUAACGGCCUACCAAGGCGACGAUCAGUAGCUGGUCUGAGAGGAUGAUCAGCCACACUGGGACUGAGACACGGCCCAGACUCCUACGGGAGGCAGCAGUGGGGAAUAUUGGACAAUGGGCGCAAGCCUGAUCCAGCCAUGCCGCGUGAGUGAUGAAGGCCUUAGGGUUGUAAAGCUCUUUUAUCCGGAACGAUAAUGACGGUACCGGAGGAAUAAGCCCCGGCUAACUUCGUG
Molecule: ribosomal RNA, 433 nt
Filed under: uncultured bacterium
Lineage: Bacteria
Description: partial 16S ribosomal RNA
Rfam family: Bacterial small subunit ribosomal RNA
Source: RNAcentral